This 489-nucleotide ribosomal RNA is filed under the name uncultured Methanomethylovorans sp. RNAcentral describes it as "bacterial SSU rRNA". It matches the Rfam family "Archaeal small subunit ribosomal RNA", at positions 336 to 825 of the family's 1478-position model. Lineage: Archaea; Methanobacteriati; Methanobacteriota; Methanomicrobia; Methanosarcinales; Methanosarcinaceae. The record is from RNAcentral.
CAGGCGCGAAAACUUUACAAUGCGGGAAACCGCGAUAAGGGGACACCGAGUGCCAGCAUCCUAUGUUGGCUGUCCAUAUGUAUAAAUCACAUGUGUUAGCAAGGGCCGGGCAAGACCGGUGCCAGCCGCCGCGGUAACACCGGCGGCCCGAGUGGUGGCCACUAUUAUUGGGUCUAAAGGGUCCGUAGCCGGUUUGGUCAGUCUUCCGGGAAAUCUGACGGCUUAACCGUUAGGCUUUCGGGGGAUACUACCAGGCUUGGGACCGGGAGAGGUAAGAGGUACUACGGGGGUAGGAGUGAAAUCUUGUAAUCCCCGUGGGACCACCAGUGGCGAAGGCGUCUUACCAGAACGGGUCCGACGGUGAGGGACGAAAGCUGGGGGCACGAACCGGAUUAGAUACCCGGGUAGUCCCAGCUGUAAACUAUGCUCGCUAGGUGUCAGGGACGGUGCGACCGUUUCUGGUGCCGCAGGGAAGCCGUGAAGCGAGCC